AUGUACGAUCUCUACAUUGGUGAUGUCCGUCCCACCCUGACGGUGCUGCCCCCCUCCAGUGAGGAGCUGGACCAGGGCAAGGCCACGCUCAUAUGUCUGGCCAACAAGGGCUUCCCCUCAGACUGGACCCGUUUAUCCACGUUCAUUUUUGGUGGAGGAACCAGACUGGAUGUUGGAAGUGAUGUCCGUCCCACCCUGACGGUGCUGCCCCCCUCCAGUGAGGAGCUGAAGCAGGGCAAGGCCACACUCAUAUGUCUGGCCAACAAGGGCUUCCCCUCAGACUGGAGUCUGGCCUGGAAGGUGGACGGCAGCAGCAGCAGCUGGGAGCAGAGCAGGAGCCCCGCGGUGCUGCAGAAGGACGGCCUCUACAGCUGGAGCAGCACCCUGAGGCUCACUGCAGACCAGUGGAGGAAGGUGGGCUCUGUGACCUGUGAGGCCACCGAGGGCUGUAAGGCUCUGUCAGAGACACUGAGGAGAGACCAGUGUUCCAAGUCCUGAUCAGACUCACCGAUACUCUGCUACUGGUUUUACUCUGCUAAUGCUCUCACUCUGAUCUCUGCUACUCUCUUGUUUUUUUCCCUCUCUCUCUCUUUAAAUGUUGCAGUAGUGAUGUUUCUUGCUCAGUGAUUUCAAUAUUUCAAGAAAAUAAAGACGUG
This is a non-coding RNA of Scomber scombrus (Atlantic mackerel), 656 nucleotides long. The record is from the annotation of a RefSeq genome assembly. NCBI's taxonomy places the organism in Eukaryota, Metazoa, Chordata, Actinopteri, Scombriformes, Scombridae.